Molecule: transfer RNA, 76 nt
Filed under: Mesoplasma lactucae ATCC 49193
Lineage: Bacteria; Bacillati; Mycoplasmatota; Mollicutes; Entomoplasmatales; Entomoplasmataceae
Also listed under: 1 other name
Description: tRNA-Asn
Rfam family: tRNA
About the family: Transfer RNA (tRNA) molecules are approximately 80 nucleotides in length.
Source: RNAcentral
GGCUUUUUAGCUCAGUUGGUAGAGCAAUCGGCUGUUAACCGAUUUGUCACAGGUUCGAGUCCUGUAAAAGCCGCCA